GAGGGGCCUCUGAAAUCUCUGCUCACAUCCAAAUAGGAUGAUCAUUGCAAAAGAAAACAAACACAAACAAAAACAAACAACACACAUGCAAGGGUAAGCUAGAAUUCAAAUGAAAACAAGUCAAUGACAGUUAAACAUAGCAAAAUAGACAUACAAGCAAUUACAAUCACAGAGGAACAGUUUUAGUAAAUUAUAAGUUGUGGUUUUAUUAGGUGGUGUUAGUUUUAGACUCGUCCGGACCCGGAAUGAAUAUCGAGCUAUGGCGGGUUAUGCACUUGUGGUGGCCUCUACUGCUUUGCAAAGCCAUUGCCAAUGGGUUUCACCCUACCACACACACAAGGUUAGUCCGUUAUCACUCACAUUGGCCCAUAUAAAUGGAGACAACCAAGACUAGGACCCCCUACUGCUCUUCACCACAUGAACUAAUCUUCUCUAAGUGAGAUUGAAUAGUCAUUAGAGCUUUAAGGGCAACCCCCAAGACUGAGCUACCUAUAUUCAUUCCAGAAACUUAACUUAUAUCUCACCAAGAGAUGUACUUAAUUCGUUGAUUCACACUUCAUACCAUACUAUUCUUCACUCACUUUGAUUCUUAAGUUUUUAUAAGUUUUGGUGUUAACUUAGUUUAAUUUGAUACACAGUCAUUUUGGGUUUAGAUUGAUUCAAUUCCAUACAAAUCCUACAUAAUUAACUCAUACAAUACUAAAAAGAAUUAUACAAUGCUAGAAAUAAGUCAUACAUUACAUAUUUUCACAGAAACACCAUUUAUUAAUACCAAUUUCUUUAUCAACUAUAAUUACCUAUACUUAAGUAAUUCAAACGGUUCCGAAACCAUCACCAACGGCUCCGGAAGGGUCUAAAACCCCCAAAACGACCUAAAGAACGUCCAAAACGGACGUCCGGAACCCCCCAAACUGUCAAAAACAAAAGCAACAGCAGAUUCCUGCGCCCAGCGUGAAUUUCUGCUGGAAAACAGCAAGAAAUGGCGCCCAGCGCACUUUUUGGGCGCCCGACGUGAAUCAUGCAUAUUUUUCUGCAUAAU
RNAcentral lists this long non-coding RNA (1039 nucleotides) under Vigna radiata. Its description in RNAcentral is "long non-coding RNA (VRAD_LNC008385)". The record is from RNAcentral. Lineage: Eukaryota; Viridiplantae; Streptophyta; Magnoliopsida; Fabales; Fabaceae.